GGGCGAGUGGCGAAACUGGCAGACGCAUACGCUUCAGGUGCGUACGACCGCAAGGUUUUGGGGGUUCAACUCCCCCCUCGCCCACAA
Molecule: transfer RNA, 87 nt
Filed under: Candidatus Yanofskybacteria bacterium RIFCSPHIGHO2_01_FULL_41_21
Lineage: Bacteria; Candidatus Yanofskyibacteriota
Description: tRNA-Leu
Rfam family: tRNA
About the family: Transfer RNA (tRNA) molecules are approximately 80 nucleotides in length.
Source: RNAcentral